GCACGUGCAAUAUAAUCAGGAGCACGUGAUAGUGAUGUCAUCCCGACUAUAAAUGUCGAUGGAGAAGGCCACGCUACGAGUAAAGGUGAUGCGUCUUAGUCUUUCUGAUUAGUCAAACUCGGAGACAAACCAGCCCAAAAAAGCUUCUUUAUUUAUUUAUUUUAUUUUUUAAAUCUGUUUUUUCAAAGAAGGUGACGUUGAAGAACUGAGAAUUUAUUUGAGGCAAAUGGAAAAAAAACAAUAGUGUGAAUAGUCAAAUUAUGUGUGCAAACAGCAUAUGCCAUCUUUGAAGCAGUGGAGUCCUCUCUUUCUCUUUCUGGGUAAUGCUUUAUUGGUUUUUUUUUUUUUUUUUUNNN
Molecule: long non-coding RNA, 356 nt
Filed under: Manihot esculenta (cassava)
Lineage: Eukaryota; Viridiplantae; Streptophyta; Magnoliopsida; Malpighiales; Euphorbiaceae
Description: long non-coding RNA (MESC_LNC006649)
Source: RNAcentral